GCUGGGCACAGUGGCAGGUGCUUGUAGUCCCAGAUAGUCGGGAGGCUGAGGUGGGAGGAUCGCUUGAGCCUAGGAGUUCUGGGCUGCAGUGCGCUACACCAAUUGCGUGUCCACACUAAGUUCAGCAUCAAUAUGGUGACCUCCCUGGAGUGGGAGAACACCAGGUUGCCUAACGGGGGUGAACAGGCCCAGUUUGGAAGCAGAGUAGGUCAAAACUCCUGUGCUGAUCAGUAGUGGGAUCACACCUGUGAGUGUGAAAAGGCACUGCACUCCAGCCUGGGCAACAUAGCGAGACCCUGUCUCU
RNAcentral lists this signal recognition particle RNA (304 nucleotides) under Saimiri boliviensis boliviensis (Bolivian squirrel monkey). RNAcentral describes it as "Metazoan signal recognition particle RNA (ENSSBOG00000007911.1)". It matches the Rfam family "Metazoan signal recognition particle RNA". From Rfam's summary of the family: The signal recognition particle (SRP) is a universally conserved ribonucleoprotein. It is involved in the co-translational targeting of proteins to membranes. The eukaryotic SRP consists of a 300-nucleotide 7S RNA and six proteins: SRPs 72, 68, 54, 19, 14, and 9. Lineage: Eukaryota; Metazoa; Chordata; Mammalia; Primates; Cebidae. The record is from RNAcentral.